UGGGGAAUAUUGCACAAUGGGGGAAACCCUGAUGCAGCGACGCCGCGUGAGCGAAGAAGGUUUUCGAAUCGUAAAGCUCUGUCCUAUGAGAAGAUAAUGACGGUAUCAUAGGAGGAAGCCCCGGCUAAAUACGUGCCAGCAGCCGCGGUAAUACGUAUGGGGCGAGCGUUGUCCGGAAUUAUUGGGCGUAAAGGGUACGUAGGUGGUCUAUUAAGUCAGGUGUGAAAGCGUGAGGCUUAACCUCAUUAAGCACUUGAAACUGAUAGACUUGAGUGAAGGAGAGGAAAGUGGAAUUCCUAGUGUAGCGGUGAAAUGCGUAGAUAUUAGGAGGAAUACCGGUGGCGAAGGCGACUUUCUGGACUUUUACUGACGCUCAGGUACGAAAGCGUGGGGAGCAAACAGG
Molecule: ribosomal RNA, 403 nt
Filed under: Verrucomicrobiota bacterium
Lineage: Bacteria; Pseudomonadati; Verrucomicrobiota
Description: Verrucomicrobia bacterium partial 16S ribosomal RNA
Rfam family: Bacterial small subunit ribosomal RNA
Source: RNAcentral